UACGGAGGGUGCAAACGUUGCUCGGAAUCAUUGGGCGUAAAGCGCACGUAGGCGGCCCAGCAAGUCGGGUGUGAAAGCCCUCGGCUUAACCGAGGAAGUGCAUUCGAAACUACUGAGCUUGAAUACUGGAGAGGAUCGCGGAAUUCCCGGUGUAGAGGUGAAAUUCGUAGAUAUCUGGAGGAACACCGGUGGCGAAGGCGGCUUUCUGGACAAAUACCGACGCUGAGGCACGAAAGCUAGGGGAGCAAACGGG
This 253-nucleotide ribosomal RNA is filed under the name uncultured bacterium. RNAcentral's name for it is "partial 16S ribosomal RNA". It matches the Rfam family "Bacterial small subunit ribosomal RNA", at positions 524 to 776 of the family's 1533-position model. The record is from RNAcentral.